This is a long non-coding RNA of Ahaetulla prasina, 5416 nucleotides long. RefSeq lists it as uncharacterized. The transcript is spliced from 3 exons. The record is from RefSeq and is a predicted model, not a curated record. NCBI's taxonomy places the organism in Eukaryota, Metazoa, Chordata, Lepidosauria, Squamata, Colubridae.
AGGAAGGGAGGGGCAGGCCUUAAUGAGUGCUGAGUCAUGGAGCCACACCCCAUGGCCUAUAUAAAGGAUCUGCUUUCUGGCAGUCUCUGAGUCAGGCAAAAGUCGAACUUAUCUUGCUGAAGUCACUUACUGGUCUCCUGCCUGCUCUGAGGACUUUGCUAGGACUUUGGGCAGAGCUGCAGAGGCAAGCCUGAUUCGGAUUUCCCUGACCCGGCCGUCAGCGGAGGAGCGGGACACGACACCCACCCACCCGGGUUUCAUUACUUCCUGGUUUUAAUGAAGCGAGUGCACACGCACAACACGUGCACUUCCAAGCUGGUAAGGAAGCCGGGCCCCUCCCAUCUCCAGCCAGGCCUGUUAUCAGACUCCGAGUCUGAUAAUGAAGAUGAAGGCUCCAACCAGGCCUGUCAUGCCUCCAGCCCCCGGCCCUGGCCCCAUGCCCGGAGAGGAUUCCAGGAGUGAACAAACAAGCCCGAUAAACCUCACUCAUAUGACGUGUGUUCCUUUGGCUCAGCCGUCAGAGGAAGCCAGCCAGGGAUUGGAAUUACUCAGGCCUACUCCUUCUGACCCCUCCCUUUCCCAAACAGCAGAAGACAAUUCAAAGUGGGAGGAUCCUUGCUUCUGGAGAUCUGAGAGGCAACACCAGCAGAAGGAAGGGAGGGGCAGGCCUGGAUAAAUGCUGAGUCAUGGAGCCACACCCCACAGUCUAUAUAAAGGACCUGCUUUUGGCAUUCCAACCUUGAGUCAAGCAAAGUCUCAUCUAGUUUGCUGAUAUCGGACUCUAUCACUGAAGUCACAACUUGGACUCCUGCCUGCCCUGAUAAACCUCGAAGGAAUUUGGCAAGCUGCAGAGGCUUCGUUGCCACGUUUGAUACGGACUUCCUUGACCCGGUCAUCGGAGUGGGAGUGGGACAUGACACAGUGGUCCACCAGGGCACCUAGAUCCUUGUCACAGGCAGGGACUACUGUUGAACCAGGUGUUUUUCUAAGAGGCAACUGGAUUUCCGGAGGAAAAACUACAGGAACCAGGAGCAGGUGACCCUGAGGACACAGAUAAACCUCCAAGUGCUUCAAAGACCCUCUAAAAGCAUGCAAAUGACCAUCUGUCUGCAAGGAGUAUAAAUUCUUCUAUUCUUUACUGUCCUGUCAGAUCUGAAGAAGCUUCUUGGAUGAGAAGUGAAAUGUCUUCAAAAAGAAAAAUGAGAAUGUCCAGUUGCCACCUAAAAAAAACACCUUUGGGACAACCAUGACCUGGAUGACUGAGAAUCUCUACAGACCUUUAGCUAUACAAUUUGGGAUGGACAACCUUUGAAUGGUGUGGAAGUAGGAAUGGAUUUCCAGAGAAAAAAAUGCAGACUACAGGAACCAGGAGCACUACUUAGAUGACCCUGAGGACACAGAUAAACUUCCAAGUGCUUCAAUCACCCUCUAAAAGGAUGCAAAUGACCAGCUGUUUGCAAGGAAUAUAAAUCCUUCCAUUUCCCACUAUCCUGUCAGAGCUGAAGAAGCUUCUUGGCUGAGAAGUGAAACGUCUUCAAAAGGAAAAACAAGAUUGUCCAGUUGCCUCCUGAAAAAGCACCUUUGGGACAACCAUGACCUGGAUGACUGAGAAUCUCUACAGAUUUUCUUCUUCUGUAGCAUUUUUUUGUUCGGAAUUUUAUUAUCUCAUUUUUAGACUUUGUUCAGUUUCUCUUGCCUGCAUUUAUGCUAAAUUCUACCAUAUGACAUGGUCACUCUCUCCCAAAGUUCCUACCACUUCCUCAAGCACUUGAUGCCUAUUAAUAAGUAUAGUUGAUCUCUAGGUCUCACAUCAACCUUUCGGACAAUAAACUUGUCAGUUAUGCACAUUAAGAACCUAUUCAGUGUCCCAUUUGCUGCUUCCCAAUUGAUGACAGUAUAGUUAAAUUCCAAUUUACUACUGAAUUAUGUCACAGUUUUGACCACUAGAUAGGCUUUUUCUAUCGCCAUGCCAUGGAAAUGUGAUUGCUCCAUUUGGAUAUUGGGCGUCUCCCUUCUUGACCACAUCACACCAUUCGACAACAUUAAGAUGGGAGAAGGCCAUGGACAUGUCCAGACCGCAGAACCUUCCACUGUGGCCAAGACUGCCUACCAAGUAGAAAUCAAUGGCUCGUGGGUGCCCAAAACAGAGAUGGCAAGACACCAUCAACAAAGAUAUGCAAGCCGUGGGCCUGCACCCUGGAGACACAGCUGACCAUGCAAAGUGGUGCUCAAUGAUCCGAAAAGUGGAUCCUGCACCUGCGGGAAUAUGCUAGGAGGAGGAGGAGGAGGAAAAGAAAGGCUAUAUCCAUGUGCAUGUAAUUUUGUAUAUCAGAUUUUUAAGAAAAAAAAAGAAGCACACUCUAGAACAUAUAAAGAAAAUGUAGAUUAGCCUUAUGCACAAAAAAGAUUUGGAGCAAUUUUCAAUUAACGAAGUUUCAAGUAGUGCCAUUGUGUUAUAAUGCAAAAACAUAACUUAAAUAUAUGGAUAAUAUCAUUAUCCCUGGCGUUUCUUGGUUUUAUUAGUAAUAUUUUUAAAAAGGAAAAUGAGACAAAUGAGGGGCAGGUUUUGCAAACCUUUUCAUGUAAUUUUUUCCCCAAACUGCUUGUCAUUCAUGAAGCUUUUAAACCUGUUUUUAAAUUAUUAUUUUUAACAAUGUCAUUAAUUUUUUAUAGCACCCUUUUUUCCUAUCUUAAGGCAGAUCAGCAUCAUGCAUGAAAAAUGGAUUAAUCCAUGCCUUGAUGAAAUAAAACAUAACAGGAAUUUUUUCAGAUGCUAAGAGUGUAGCUAAAAAUACUAGUAUUAUUAAAUUAAAUUAAAUGAAUAUAUUAAAAUACUAUGACUAUAAAACCCAAAGGAUAUCCCACAGAAAUUAAAAUUAUGAUAAAAUAUUAAUGGGCCUAUGUUAAUGUCUUUUGGUUAAAUGUUACUUAUUUUUAGUCACAAUUUCUUCUCAUCUCUAAAUUCGCCCCAUUUGAUAUAUAUUCUUUUCAUUCAUUCUUUGUAUAAUUUUCCCUGGUCUACCAGGCACAUAAAGAUAUAUUUGUCAUAGCUAAAAAAAUAUAUGAUAGCAUUGUGUACAUAGUUUCCAGAUGUUCUUGAAAUAAGAUUGAUAUCAGUUAUGCUAAUUAGGGCUGAUAGGGUUUGAGUCCCUAAUUUCCAGAGGCUUGUACCAUCAUAAACCUGAUGAUUGGAAUAGAUGAGGGGUGUCAAACACACAUCACCAUGGUGGUGUCAUGUGACAUAUCAUGGCUUUUUUCUCCUUCGCUAAACUGGGCAUGGGUGUGCCCAGCGCAUGAUGCAUCCGGCUUGUGGGUUGUGAGUCUGACAGCCCUGGAGUAGAUUGUGGAAAAUUCCACAAGAUGAAGUAAAAAGGGAAAAAGAAGAGAGAUAUCAAGCUCAGCAUUUUCAAACUAUUUACUAAAUCUGCACUACUAUUAAUCUUCUCAUUGUUCCCAUCACCAAUCUCUUUCCACUUAUGACUGUAUGACUGUAACUUUGUUGCUGGCAAUCCUUAUGAUUUAUAUUGAUAUUGAUUGUUUCCUGAUUGCUUAUUUGUACCCUAUGACUAUCAUUAAGUGUUGUACCUUAGAAUUCUUGAUGAACACAUCUUUUCUUUUAUGUACCCUGAGAGCGUAUGCACCAAGACAAGUUCCUUGUGUAACCAAUCACACUUUGCCAAUAAAAAAUUCUAUUCUUGCCUCAAAGAUGCUUUUUUCUUCAAAAGGCAACUGGACUGGUUUUUCCUUGCGGAAGAAAAAGUAAAUGCUUCACUUCACAUCCAAGAAGCUUCAUCAGUUCUGAUGACAGAGAGAUGGAAGGAUAGGUACUUAUAGUUGAAACUGAAUGCUGGGGUGGGAGAUGAAAGGAUAGGUUCAAAUGGGAUGAUGAGGAGGAUGGAAUGAUUGUAUUUCUUUGUGGUAAUCUAGCCUUUAGCACUCUCUCUGAGAUGUGUUGAGCAGUGGUGGGUUGCUACCGGUUUGCCCCAGAUUGCCCACUCACCCAGAUGUUUCUGCACAUGUGCAGAAGCAUUGCAUGCAUGCGUGCGUGCACACACCCACGAGUGAGCUGGUAGCAAUGGGUUUUGAAACCCAUCCCUAGUGUUGAGGUUACUUGUGUGUUUAUCUGUGUCCUCAGGUGCUGAAUCAAGGUGCUAUUGGUUUUGGAAUCUUCUUGGAGCAGUCCCAAGGACUGCAUUGUAAAUUGGAGGUAGGUGGUGUUUUAUUCCUCCCUUUCUGUUGGGGGAGAGGUGUUCAAUUCUAACAUAGAUGGAUUAUUUUAAACCUCUUUCAGACCAAGGUCCUCUCUAUCCGAAAUGUAGACUUCUUUCUUCUCCAUCAAGGAAAAAAACAAUCUGGUUGCCUUUUGAAGAAAUAAAAAAAAAAACCUGUUGUGGCCAGCCAGUUGCCAGCGGACCUGAUGACAGACUCAGACGAUAAGGAGGUUGGGGAGGAACUUGGGCCAGUGAUGGAGUUUGGGGAAAGCUCUGUUCUAUCUCUGCGUCGGACACAGAGAUAGAACAAGGGCCAUCCAACAUUUCCCAGCCACCGGAGAGGCAGCUGCCUUUGGAGACUGAUAUAAUGUGAGUGAGGAGGGAGAACAGCUGGGGCUUGUUCCAGAUGCACCAGAGGUAGGUUUCAGCAGGUUCUGACCAGUUCUGGAGAACCGGUGGCAGAAAUUUUGAGUAGUUCAGAGAACCAGUAGUAAAAAUUCUGACUGGCCCCGCUCCCAUCUAUUCUUACCUCCCAAGUCCCAGCUAAUUGGGAGGAAAUGGGGAUUUUGCAGUAAUCUUCCCCUCGAUUGGGAAGGGAAUGGAGAUUUUACAGUAUCCUUCCCCUGCCAUGCCCACCAAGCCACACCCACAGAACCGGUAGUAAAAAAAAUUGAAACCUACCACUGAGAUGCAUGUAUGCGCAGAGCAGUUAGAAGAUGUGAGCAAUGGGAGAUAAGGAGUCAACUCAGGAAGCAAAGUACAUGUGGACACUGAAUGACCCAACACUGGCUGGGGAAUAAAUAGAAGGAAAGGGAGUGGUUGUCGUAGGAGACAACAGUUCGUAUUUCUGAAGAUUUUGCUCAUUGUGUUUCAUGCCACAAAAACUGCUUGCCAGAACUUAAUUUUCAGCCUUUCUGCUGGGAGCUCACUGCCUUACAAUUAUCGCAAGGAACUGAUAAGAUCUGUACUGCAGUUAACUCCUUGAAGGACUAUUGCCUGGACUUUUUGGUGGGUGAAUGCAAUUAAUUCACAAGAGGUAAAUAAAGAGGAUUUUUUUGUGACAAGGAGUCUGUUUUUUGCUUCUGCUAAGGCUGGGUCAGAACAACACCUUUGAGACAACUAUGAUCUGGAUGAUUGAGAAUCUCCACAGACAUGAUGUCAAGCUUGGUUUGAUCUGUCAUAUAAUUUAACAGUAUAACAUCAUG